Molecule: ribosomal RNA, 1437 nt
Filed under: Salmonella enterica subsp. enterica
Lineage: Bacteria; Pseudomonadati; Pseudomonadota; Gammaproteobacteria; Enterobacterales; Enterobacteriaceae
Description: partial 23S ribosomal RNA
Rfam family: Bacterial large subunit ribosomal RNA
Source: RNAcentral
UGUGUUCCAGGUAAAUCCGGUUCACUUUAACACUGAGGCGUGACGACGAGGCACUACGGUGCUGAAGCAACAAAUGCCCUGCUUCCAGGAAAAGCCUCUAAGCAUCAGGUAACACGAAAUCGUACCCCAAACCGACACAGGUGGUCAGGUAGAGAAUACCAAGGCGCUUGAGAGAACUCGGGUGAAGGAACUAGGCAAAAUGGUGCCGUAACUUCGGGAGAAGGCACGCUGACACGUAGGUGAAGUGAUUUACUCAUGGAGCUGAAGUCAGUCGAAGAUACCAGCUGGCUGCAACUGUUUAUUAAAAACACAGCACUGUGCAAACACGAAAGUGGACGUAUACGGUGUGACGCCUGCCCGGUGCCGGAAGGUUAAUUGAUGGGGUCAGCGCAAGCGAAGCUCCUGAUCGAAGCCCCGGUAAACGGCGGCCGUAACUAUAACGGUCCUAAGGUAGCGAAAUUCCUUGUCGGGUAAGUUCCGACCUGCACGAAUGGCGUAAUGAUGGCCAGGCUGUCUCCACCCGAGACUCAGUGAAAUUGAACUCGCUGUGAAGAUGCAGUGUACCCGCGGCAAGACGGAAAGACCCCGUGAACCUUUACUAUAGCUUGACACUGAACAUUGAGCCUUGAUGUGUAGGAUAGGUGGGAGGCUUUGAAGUGUGGACGCCAGUCUGCAUGGAGCCGACCUUGAAAUACCACCCUUUAAUGUUUGAUGUUCUAACGUGGACCCGUAAUCCGGGUUGCGGACAGUGUCUGGUGGGUAGUUUGACUGGGGCGGUCUCCUCCUAAAGAGUAACGGAGGAGCACGAAGGUUGGCUAAUCCUGGUCGGACAUCAGGAGGUUAGUGCAAUGGCAUAAGCCAGCUUGACUGCGAGCGUGACGGCGCGAGCAGGUGCGAAAGCAGGUCAUAGUGAUCCGGUGGUUCUGAAUGGAAGGGCCAUCGCUCAACGGAUAAAAGGUACUCCGGGGAUAACAGGCUGAUACCGCCCAAGAGUUCAUAUCGACGGCGGUGUUUGGCACCUCGAUGUCGGCUCAUCACAUCCUGGGGCUGAAGUAGGUCCCAAGGGUAUGGCUGUUCGCCAUUUAAAGUGGUACGCGAGCUGGGUUUAGAACGUCGUGAGACAGUUCGGUCCCUAUCUGCCGUGGGCGCUGGAGAACUGAGGGGGGCUGCUCCUAGUACGAGAGGACCGGAGUGGACGCAUCACUGGUGUUCGGGUUGUCAUGCCAAUGGCACUGCCCGGUAGCUAAAUGCGGAAGAGAUAAGUGCUGAAAGCAUCUAAGCACGAAACUUGCCCCGAGAUGAGUUCUCCCUGAGACUUAGAGUCUCCUGAAGGAACGUUGAAGACGACGACGUUGAUAGGCCGGGUGUGUAAGCGCAGCGAUGCGUUGAGCUAACCGGUACUAAUGAACCGUGAGGCUUAACCUUACAACGCCGAAG